AACCUCCGCAAUGUGAGAAAUCGCGACGGGGGGAUCCCAAGUGCCAUUCUUAACGGGAUGGCUUUUCAUUAGUGUAAAGAGCUUUUGGAAUAAGAGCUGGGCAAGACCGGUGCCAGCCGCCGCGGUAACACCGGCAGCUCUAGUGGUAACAAUUUUUAUUGGGCCUAAAGCGUCCGUAGCCGGUUUAAUAAGUCUCUGGUGAAAUCCUGUAGCUUAACUGUGGGAAUUGCUGGAGAUACUAUUAGACUUGAGACCGGGAGAGGUUAGAGGUACUCCCAGGGUAGAGGUGAAAUUCUGUAAUCCUGGGAGGACCGCCUGUUGCGAAGGCGUCUAACUGGAACGGUUCUGACGGUGAGGGACGAAAGUUAGGGGCGCGAACCGGAUUAGAUACCCGGGUAGUCCUAACUGUAAACGAUGCGGACUUGGUGUUGGGGUGGCUUUGAGCUGCUCCAGUGCCGAAGGGAAGCUGUUAAGUCCGCCGCCUGGAAGUACGGUCGCAAGACUGAAACUUAAAGGAAGU
This 520-nucleotide ribosomal RNA is filed under the name uncultured bacterium. RNAcentral's name for it is "bacterial SSU rRNA". It matches the Rfam family "Archaeal small subunit ribosomal RNA", at positions 345 to 866 of the family's 1478-position model. The record is from RNAcentral.